This 256-nucleotide long non-coding RNA is filed under the name Hordeum vulgare. RNAcentral describes it as "long non-coding RNA (HVUL_LNC015190)". Lineage: Eukaryota; Viridiplantae; Streptophyta; Magnoliopsida; Poales; Poaceae. The record is from RNAcentral.
CCAUAUUGCUUAUAGAGUCAUACUUUUGUUCUAGCUAUCAAGUUGUAAUCUUUGAGUUGUAAGUAAAUAAAAGUGUGAUGAUUUGCAUUAUUAGUGCAUUGUAUCUUGUGAGAAAAAGGAUUGUGGAAGCUAUGAUUCCCUCACAAGUUGGGAUGAGUCUCCGUACUUUACAUAAGAAAGAGGCCAGCGAAGCCCAUAAAUAAACAAAAGAGGCCAUAGAAGCCCAUCCAAAAAGGAUAAAAAAAGAAAAGAAAAA